GUGUAAGUUUCUAAGGGCACACGGUGGAUGCCUUGGCAUCAGGAGCUGAUGAAGGACGUGGGAAUCUGCGAUAAGCCUCGGGGAGACGAUAACCGGUCUGUGAUCCGAGGAUUUCCGAAUGGGGUAACCCGGCCGCAUGUCAUGUGUGGUCACCGCCGUCUGAAUAUAUAGGGCGUGCGGGGGGAACGCGGGGAAGUGAAACAUCUCAGUACCCGCAGGAAGAGAAAACAACAGUGAUUCCGUUAGUAGUGGCGAGCG
RNAcentral lists this non-coding RNA (258 nucleotides) under Tersicoccus phoenicis. RNAcentral's name for it is "Arthrobacter sp. 1P05MA Bacterial large subunit ribosomal RNA". It matches the Rfam family "Bacterial large subunit ribosomal RNA", at positions 1 to 255 of the family's 2925-position model. The record is from Rfam by way of RNAcentral. Lineage: Bacteria; Bacillati; Actinomycetota; Actinomycetes; Micrococcales; Micrococcaceae.